GACGAACGCUGGCGGCGUGCUUAACACAUGCAAGUCGAGCGGUAAGGCCCUUUCGGGGGUACACGAGCGACGAACGGGUGAGUAACACGUGGGUGACCUGCCCUCAGCUCUGGGAUAAGCCUGGGAAACCGGGUCUAAUACUGGAUAUGACUCCAUGACGCAUGUUGUGGGGUGGAAAGCCUUGUGCGGCUGAGGAUGGGCCCGCGGCCUAUCAGCUUGUUGGUGGGGUGANGGCCUACCAAGGCGACGACGGGUAGCCGGCCUGAGAGGGCGACCGGCCACACUGGGACUGAGACACGGCCCAGACUCCGUACGGGAGGCAGCAGGUGGGGAAUCUUGCGCAAGUGGGACGAAAGCCUGACGCAGCGACGCCGCGUGAGGGAUGA
Molecule: ribosomal RNA, 386 nt
Filed under: uncultured bacterium
Lineage: Bacteria
Description: bacterial SSU rRNA
Rfam family: Bacterial small subunit ribosomal RNA
Source: RNAcentral